Molecule: long non-coding RNA, 3702 nt
Organism: Solea solea (common sole)
Lineage: Eukaryota; Metazoa; Chordata; Actinopteri; Pleuronectiformes; Soleidae
Exons: 4
Source: RefSeq, a predicted model, not a curated record
CCGAGUGGAUAAUACCAACUGUCAAUCAUAUAUACUGCACUUAAUUAUCGAUUUUCCUCUAAAUCAGGGUCCUCAAACUCAAAUGACCGGGGGGGGGGCCACUGAGCAUCUAGUGUGGUCAGUCGGGAGCCACUCAAGUGCGUAAUUGCUUUAAAAUAACAAUUGUUGUGGUUUUUGUCGCCUAUAAAUAAGCCUCUUACAUGUACUUGCUUUACAGAAGGAGCCUGUGUUUCUUUUAAGUGCUUCCUUAAAGUCAUACUACACUGAACAAAAAAAUUAAAUUAAAAUUAAAACAAUAUUUUAUAAAAAUUUGAACAAUAUUAGAUCUUUGAGUUCAGCUCAUGACAAAUGGGAGUGUUGCAUUUAUAUUUUUGUUCAGUGUAUAUUUAAUUGUUUAGAGGACUGAAGUAUGUAUCAGGCCUCUCCAGCUCUGGUUUUGGAUUUAAUUGCCCAAACUUAAACUGCUACUUUUGGGGGGCAACUUUGCAUUAUUGUGUAACAUCAGGGUUUCUCACUCCUGAUCCUGGGGAGCCACUGAUGUUACCCUGCUCAUACAUACCUGAUUCAAAUAGUCAGCUCGUCAGUAAGCACUGUUCAAGCCUGAUAACGACCCAUUUUUUUGAAUCAAGUGUGUUUUAAAACACUGCAACACUUUUCACCCUUUUUUUUGCCACUUGGUCAAAUGAAGAAUACAUUUAAAAUCAUUAUGAUGCUGCUGUGUUUGUUUAAUUUGAACAAAUUUAACCGGCUUUUUCUAAUCAAUUUUAUUUUUUUCACACCUUUUACUCAUAAAACGAGGAACACAGUAAAGAGCAGUGUUUUUUAAUCCCAACUUCCUCUGUUGUUGUGGGAAUGAGACGUGUAUCUCAGAGCCACUGUCUGAUGAUGAAAUAACACAUUUAUCUCUGGAAAUUAGGAAUUUGAAUUUGUGUGAGUCGACUUGAAGCGGAACCUUUGCCGGUGAUUGGCUGGACCGUUACACGUGGUUGCUGCUAGCAGGAAGAAUACAAUGCGGUUACGCCCACAGACCGGGGGUUCACGUGGAUCUUUGGUGUUAACUACACUUGUGUGUUGUGACUCGCGACGAAGGGGUUAAAAAUGCCACCAUGGUCGACAUUGUGGCUCCACUUAAACAAAAUUAAUACUAAUAAAGUGCGCGGUGCAAUAUUUGUAAAAUACAUAUCGCCACAAAGGCCAACAACACAACGAAUUUAAGGACGGCGCUGUGUCAGGGGUUUCAACGGUGACCUCUGACCCUGAUGUGAGGAGGACAACUUCACCAGUCAAAGUGAAUCCGUUCACACUGGCAACACUGAUGCUAUUGUUGCAUUGGGGUCUGUACGGUUCUUGGUGGGCUACUGAACAGAAUUACUCUCUGGGAUUAAUAAAAUUGAUCAAAUCAAAAUAAGUAAAGAAUAACAAGACGAGUGCUACAGUCACAAAGUUUACUGUGAAAGGUUUGCUGCUCCAUGGUGGAGGUGGAGCUGCUCCUGCACAAAGAAACACUGAUUUAAAAGCCUUUGUGUACUUUCUGUGACUUGGUACAUUCCACUCCUCCCCUCUGUGUCGAGCUAUGUGGAAUGUUCCACUUCCCUUGUCGAAGCUUCUUCCACGCCGAGACAGGAAGAGGACGAGGAGCAGCGGGAAUAAACACAUGCAGGUGCAGGAGGACCUGGCUGACCUGGAGGACGAGGACGAGGAGGAGGACGAGGACGAGGAGCAGCGCGGACAAAUGUGUGGUAACUGAUGCUUAAAAAUGAUCCACACAUUUAUUAGAUGUUCUGUUGAUGCUCUGUUCACACCUGCUGUUAACAUCUGAUCCGAGUCAUCCGAUCACAGUUGUUCAGAUUACACCUGCUACUGCUAUUGCUAAUAUCACGUCAAAUGAUGAUUCUCAAAUGUCUUUUUUUAUCCACCAACCAAAAAUUAUUCAGUUUUAAUUCCUUCUUUGUUACAAGGAACAAUGAAACCGGAAAAUGUUCAACAUUUUUAAUAAAAAACAAACAAUUAAUCCAUUAUUAAAGUAUUUGACAAUUCAUUUAGUAAUCAUUUAAUAAUGCUGUAAUCGUUGCAUCCCUACUUUAUAUAUAUUUUUUUUUUAAAUCAUCAGAGACAUCAUAUGAUUUAUUGCGAUACUUGCAAAAUCAUACAUUGUGAUGCACUGACACAACAGUGCCAGUGAAAGUGACCACUUGGCACCAUCUAGUGGACUGAAAGGUUCAUUUAUUUUGUUUAUUUGUAAUGCUAAUCCACAAAAAAGUUUGACGUUUAUUUAUAACAUCAGUUCAAAACAUUGUUAUGGAACAAACCAUGACUCUUUCACCUGUCAUUUCAUCACCUCACACGGACGAUGUUAACAGCACUUGUCAACAGAGCCUCUGUUUAAUGUGUGCACAUCAUUUUUACAUUGUUAACAGGUGAAAACUGGGGACCACUCAAAGUCACAAAAUUCUAUCAAUAAAUACACCAUUCAGUAAUGACUACAAUGUGCCAUUCAUUCAUUCAUUGAUUCAAAUUGGAAGUAAAUACAUACACGUCUUAUUAAAUGUGACAUUCAUUCAUUCAUUCAAAUACCAAUUCAUUUGAUGUAAAAAACAACAUAUAGAAUGACUUGACUGUUGAAUGAAUGAUUUCAUGGUCCUGUGUUGCAGUGCAUCACAGGACUGAUGCUGAUGGGUGACUUUGACACGUUAAAUCAAUUCAUGAUGCACUGCAACACAGGACCAUGACAUCAUUCAUUCAAAAGUCAAGUCAUUAGAUAUGUUUUGUGGGGUUUUUUUUAACCUGCAAUUGGUAUUUGAAUGAAUGACUGUCACAUUUAAUAAGACGUGUAUGUAUUUCAUUCCAAUUUGAAUCAAUGAAUAAAUGUCACAUUGUAGUCCAUAUUGAACGGUGUAUUUAUUUAUUGAGUGAAUUUUGUAACUUUGAGCGCUCCCUAGUUUUCACCUGUUAACAAUGUAAAAAUGAUGUGCACACAUUAAUCCCACAGAAGUCUAAUUGAUGUGCUGAUCAUUUUUAAGCAUCAGUUGCUGGACACCGGUACCCCGACUGUGUGGUCAACAGUCCAGAGAGUGGACCCCUGUCAAAUUUUUUUGUGUUUUUAUGGCUUUUUUGGGGAAUUUCGUUGGCCAAAAAUGUGAAAUAAAAUGGUAUAACCCCCUGUUGUUAUCAGUGUGGGGAGCCGGGGGACCACAGCCCAGCCCGGCCCCAGUUAGACCCCGGCGCCGGGGCCAAGUGUUCGGAGCAUGCUGGAUUUGAACCAGCCACAGCCGGACUGGCACAACCUCCUCGCGGUUGCGAACCAACCCACCACGCCACAAACCCUUUGGAGGUUUGGGAUGGAGCUCCGGGCGUUUUUCACUCUUCACUUUGGCUGUGGAACCUUAAACGUUCAAGUAUAAAGGAAUUGAACUCUCAACGUCAAGACUGAAAGGCAGCUCUCUAACCAGUUGAGCUAACAGUCCACACUCUUCCUUAUGUUUUCUCAGACUUCUUUACUCUUUGCGUUGAAUAGCGUGCCUAAAAAUUCACUUCAUCCAAGUUUCGAACCCCUGACCUGAAGAACUCCAGUCUUUCUCUUAACCUUGUGAGCUAUUUGUCCUCACAUGGUGUGUGCUAACCUUUGGAAGUCUUUCAAUAAUAGAACCCAUGACUUCAAAAAAAACAUCAGACUGAUGAAAUAUUGAAGAACGUUUGUCCCUG